Molecule: ribosomal RNA, 301 nt
Filed under: uncultured bacterium
Lineage: Bacteria
Description: partial 16S ribosomal RNA
Rfam family: Bacterial small subunit ribosomal RNA
Source: RNAcentral
CAGUCGCCGCGGUAAUACGAAGGGGGCUAGCGUUGCUCGGAAUGACUGGGCGUAAAGGGCGCGUAGGCGGAUUGUUUAGUUAGGCGUGAAAUUCCUGGGCUUAACCUGGGGACUGCGCUUAAUACAGGCAGUCUAGAGUGAGGAAGAGGGUUGUGGAAUUCCCAGUGUAGAGGUGAAAUUCGUAGAUAUUGGGAAGAACACCGGUGGCGAAGGCGGCAACCUGGUCCUUGACUGACGCUGAGGCGCGAAAGCGUGGGGAGCAAACAGGAUUAGAUACCCCCGUAGUCCCUGUCUCUUAUAU